Molecule: long non-coding RNA, 1368 nt
Organism: Pteropus alecto (black flying fox)
Lineage: Eukaryota; Metazoa; Chordata; Mammalia; Chiroptera; Pteropodidae
Exons: 2
Source: RefSeq, a predicted model, not a curated record
GUCUCUCCGCGUCUCUGCAGCAGAAGGCGGCUGUGGGUUUGCACUGAGAAGGGACGCACGGUGCUGCUCGGUGCGCUGGCCGGAGAAGCUGGACCUGGGGAAGGUGCGGCCCGGGCUCUGCCCCCUGGGACCCGGGAAGGUGUGGCCCGGGCUCUGCCCCCUGGGACCCGGGAAGGUGCGGCCCGGGCUCUGCCCCCUGGGACCCGGGAAGGUGUGGCCCGGGCUCUGCCCGCUGGGACCCGGGAAGGUGUGGCCCAGGCUCUGCCCCCUGGGACCUCAGCCGCUGCUCUUCGGCGAUGGAAACUUACAAACAUUUCAGUCAUCUUUCUGAGGAGGAUUUGGUCAUCUGGCAAGUGUGGUCCCAGAAUUUGCCAGAAGCAUGUAUCAACUGCAGCCCAGGGUGUGGAAGCAGACAGGCCUAGUGCAGAUUACACGCCUAAGAAUCUAGGAAAAGAAAUGCGAGACUCGGGCCCGGGGCUCUGCCGGGGGACAGAGGUCGGUGUCCGCCCCCAGGGGGGUGCAGGUUAACCCAGAGGUUAGAGGAGGCUGCACACAGCCAGGCCCAGCUUCUGGAGAACCUGGCCCGCGGCGGGGGCGAGGGGGGGACCCCCCGGCAUCUCCAACCUCUCCUUCAGGCCCGAACACUCGCCCCUUCUUCCUGGAAGGCCAGGAGCCAGGACGGAGUGACUCUAGCUCGUCGCCAGAGGCCGGUGAGCACGAACUCCUCCAAAGGCUUCUUGCCACCCCUGCCAGCUUGGAUCAUGGGACAGCUAGCGAGUUGACUGUGCUUUGAAGAAAGCUUGUUCCACAAAGCCGAGGUGGCUCACGAGGAAGAACCUGGACCCCCAGGCUGCGAAGUAACAGACAGCGUUUGCGGAAAACUUGGAAAAACGAGGAAAAGCGGGAGGAACCGUGAGCAGGGGUGGGGGGAUGGGGGUGCUGCGUCGACGUUUCGGUCCUGAGACGCACACACCUGAACGCCCACCCGGCGCCCGUGACCUGCCCACCGUGUGACCUUUCCCUUCCCCUUACUAAACACGUGUCUACGCCACGCAAUUCGCUGACCGGCCGGCGGGCGGCGCCCGGAUCGACCACGGCUCCCUCGGGCAGCCUCCCAGGACGCGCGCGCAUGUCACUGCCGUGGCCAGAGCUGACGUGGGUCUCGGUGGCUCGGCCGAUGCGCCGGGACUCCGCGGGGCUGCUGCCCUCGGAGGCCGAGUCCUGUUUUUACGUCUCCUGCUGUCAGAAUCUCCUCUGAAGGGUUUCACGCCUGCUCUGGGCGCUCGCAGAGCUGCUCACUGCUUCCCCGGCUCAGGGCUUCAUCGCUGUAUUUUUACAAGUCAAUUAAAAAUAGUGCCCUCCUGUUUA